AUUGAACGCUGGCGGCAGGCCUAACACAUGCAAGUCGAGCGGAUGAAGGGAGCUUGCUCCUGGAUUCAGCGGCGGACGGGUGAGUAAUGCCUAGGAAUCUGCCUGGUAGUGGGGGAUAACGUCCGGAAACGGGCGCUAAUACCGCAUACGUCCUGAGGGAGAAAGUGGGGGAUCUUUGGACCUCACGCUAUCAGAUGAGCCUAGUUCGGAUUAGCUAGUUGGUGGGGUAAAGGCCUACCAAGGCGACGAUCCGUAACUGGUCUGAGAGGAUGAUCAGUCACACUGGAACUGAGACACGGUCCAGACUCCUACGGGAGGCAGCAGUGGGGAAUAUUGGACAAUGGGCGAAAGCCUGAUCCAGCCAUGCCGCGUGUGUGAAGAAGGUCUUCGGAUUGUAAAGCACUUUAAGUUGGGAGGAAGGGCAGUAAGUUAAUACCUUGCUGUUUUGACGUUACCAACAGAAUAAGCACCGGCUAACUUCGUG
RNAcentral lists this ribosomal RNA (484 nucleotides) under uncultured bacterium. RNAcentral's name for it is "partial 16S ribosomal RNA". It matches the Rfam family "Bacterial small subunit ribosomal RNA", at positions 30 to 507 of the family's 1533-position model. The record is from RNAcentral.